ACNGNAAUGCAAGUCGAGCGGUAACAGAAAGUAGCUUGCUACUUUGCUGACGAGCGGCGGACGGGUGAGUAAUGCUUGGGAACAUGCCUUGAGGUGGGGGACAACAGUUGGAAACGACUGCUAAUACCGCAUAAUGUCUACGGACCAAAGGGGGCUUCGGCUCUCGCCUUUAGAUUGGCCCAAGUGGGAUUAGCUAGUUGGUGAGGUAAUGGCUCACCAAGGCAACGAUCCCUAGCUGGUUUGAGAGGAUGAUCAGCCACACUGGAACUGAGACACGGUCCAGACUCCUACGGGAGGCAGCANUGGGGAAUAUUGCACAAUGGGCGCAAGCCUGAUGCANCCAUGCCGCGUGUGUGAAGAANGCCUUCNGGUUGUAAAGCACUUUCAGUCANGAGGAAAGGUUAGUAGUUAAUACCUGCUAGCUGUGACGUUACUGACANAAGAAGCACCGGCUAACUCCGUGCCAGCAGCCGCGGUAAUACGGAGGGUGCNAGCGUUAAUCGGAAUUACUGGGCGUAAAGC
RNAcentral lists this ribosomal RNA (522 nucleotides) under Pseudoalteromonas sp. RNAcentral's name for it is "bacterial SSU rRNA". It matches the Rfam family "Bacterial small subunit ribosomal RNA", at positions 51 to 566 of the family's 1533-position model. The record is from RNAcentral. Lineage: Bacteria; Pseudomonadati; Pseudomonadota; Gammaproteobacteria; Alteromonadales; Pseudoalteromonadaceae.